Molecule: long non-coding RNA, 1131 nt
Filed under: Zonotrichia albicollis (white-throated sparrow)
Lineage: Eukaryota; Metazoa; Chordata; Aves; Passeriformes; Passerellidae
Description: lncRNA (ENSZALG00000000327.1)
Source: RNAcentral
AUGGAAAAAUUCAGAAAGAAAAUUUCUCUCCUCGUGGAAAAAUUCAGAGAGAAAAAUUCAGAGAGAAAAAUUCUCUCCUCAUGCAAAAAUCAGAGAGAAAAAUUCAGAGAGAAAAAUUUCUUUCCUCAUGGGAAAAUUCAGAGAGAAAAUUUCUCCUCGUGGAAAAAUUCAGGGGGAAAAAUUCAGUCCUUGUGGAAAAAUUCUCCACUCAUGGAAAAAUUCAGAGAGAAAAAUUCAGUGAGAAAAUUUCUCUCCUGGUGGAAAAAUUCAGGGAGAAAAAUUCUCCACUCAUGGAAAAAUUCAGAGAGAAAAAUUCUCUUGUGGAAAAAUUCAAAGAGAAAAAAUUCUCUCCUCAUGGAAAAAUUCAGAGAGAAAAAUUCAGAGAGAAAAAUUCUCUUGUGGAAAAAUUCAGAGAGAAAAAUUUUCUUGUGGAAAAGUCCAGAGAGAAAAUUUCUCUCAUGGAAAAAUUCAGAGAAAAAUUCUCUACUCAUGGAAAAUUUCAGAGAGAAAAAUUCUCUUGUGGAAAAAUUCAGAGAAAAAAAAUCUCUCAUGGAAAAAUUCAGAGAGAAAAAUUCAGAGAGAAAAAUUCUCUCCUCGUGGAAAAAUUCAGAGAGAAAAUUUCUCUCCUCGUGGAAAAUUCAGAGAGAAAAUUUCAGAGAGAAAAAUUUCUCUUGUGGAAAAAUUCAGAGAAAAAAAUUCUCUCAUGGAAAAAUUCAGAAAGAAAAUUUCUCUCCUGGUGGAAAAAUUCAGAGAGAAGAAUUCAGAGAGAAAAAUUCUCUCCUUGUGGAAAAAUUCAGAGAGAAAAUUUCUCUCCUCGUGGGAAAAUUCAGAGAAAAAUUCUCUACUCAUGGAAAAAUUCAGAGAGAAAAAUUCAGAGAGAAAAAUUCAGAGAGAAAAAUUCUCUCCUCGUGCAAAAAUUCAGAGAAAAAUUCUCUUGUCAUGCAAAAAUUCAGAGAGAAAAAUUUCUCUCCUUGUGGAAAAGUCCAGAGAGAAAAUUUCUCUCAUGGAAAAAUUCUCCGCAUUCCCAGCCCUAUCCAGGCUGUGGCAUUCCAGGAUCAGGGACAUUUUUAUGGAAACUUUGAUGGGAUUUUCCAGCCUGAUCCUGCUGCUUUUAUGGCCAGGAUGUGUNAA